This 305-nucleotide ribosomal RNA is filed under the name uncultured bacterium. RNAcentral's name for it is "bacterial SSU rRNA". It matches the Rfam family "Bacterial small subunit ribosomal RNA", at positions 335 to 654 of the family's 1533-position model. The record is from RNAcentral.
UGCCUACGGGGGGCAGCAGUGGGGAAUAUUGGACAAUGGGGGGAACCCUGAUCCAGCGACGCCGCGUGAGUGAAGAAGUAUUUCGGUAUGUAAAGCUCUAUCAGCAGGGAAGAAAGAAAUGACGGUACCUGACUAAGAAGCCCCGGUUAACUACGUGCCAGCAGCCGCGGUAAAACGUAGGGGGCGAGCGUUGUCCGGAAUGACUGGGCGUAAAGGGUGCGUAGGCGGCAUAAUAAGUUAGAAGUGAAAUACCCAGAGCUUAACUCGGGUGCUGCUUCUAAGACUGUUGAGCUUGAGUGCGGGAG